ACACGGGUGCGUAACGCGUAUGCAAUCUACCUUAUACAGGGGGAUAGCCCAGAGAAAUUUGGGAUUAAUACCCCAUAGUAUAAUUGAAUGGCAUCAUUUAAUAUUAAAGUUCCAACGGUAUAAGAUGAGCAUGCGUCCCAUUAGCUAGUUGGUGUGGUAACGGCACACCAAGGCGACGAUGGGUAGGGGUCCUGGAGAGGGAGAUCCCCCACACUGGUACUGAGACACGGACCAGACUCCUACGGGAGGCAGCAGUGAGGAAUAUUGGUCAAUGGGCGCAAGCCCUGAACCAGCCAUGCCGCGUGCAGGAUGACGGUCCUAUGGAUUGUAAACUGCUUUUGUACAGGAAGAAACACUCCCUCGUGAGGGAGCUUGACGGUACUGUAAGAAUAAGGAUCGGCUAACUCCGUG
This 411-nucleotide ribosomal RNA is filed under the name uncultured bacterium. Its description in RNAcentral is "bacterial SSU rRNA". It matches the Rfam family "Bacterial small subunit ribosomal RNA", at positions 100 to 507 of the family's 1533-position model. The record is from RNAcentral.